Molecule: ribosomal RNA, 413 nt
Filed under: uncultured bacterium
Lineage: Bacteria
Description: bacterial SSU rRNA
Rfam family: Bacterial small subunit ribosomal RNA
Source: RNAcentral
GAUGAACGCUGGCGGCGUGCUUAACACAUGCAAGUCGAACGGUUAAACCACCUCCGGGUGGAUAUACAGUGGCGAACGGGUGAGUAACACGUGACCAACCUUCCCCCCGCACCGGGAUAACCCAGGGAAACCUGCGYUAAUACCGGAUACUCCGGGGGCCCCGCAUGGGGCCUCCGGGAAAGCCCAGGCGGCGGGGGAUGGGGUCGCGGCCCAUUAGGUAGACGGCGGGGUAACGGCCCACCGUGCCCGCGAUGGGUAGCCGGGUUGAGAGACCGAACGGCCACAUUGGAACUGAGACACGGUCCAGACUCCUACGGGAGGCAGCAGUGGGGAAUUUUGCGCAAUGGGGGAAACCCUGACGCAGCAACGCCGCGUGCGGGAUGAAGGCCUUCGGGUUGUAAACCGCUUUCAGC